GACGAACGCUGGCGGCGUGCCUAAUACAUGCAAGUCGAGCGAAUCAUUAGGAGCUUGCUCCUGAUGGUUAGCGGCGGACGGGUGAGUAACACGUGGGCAACCUGCCUGUAAGACUGGGAUAACACCGGGAAACCGGUGCUAAUACCGGAUAAUUCUUUUCCUCACAUGAGGGAAAGCUGAAAUUCGGUUUCGGCUGACACUUACAGAUGGGCCCGCGGCGCAUUAGCUAGUUGGUGAGGUAAAGGCUCACCAAGGCGACGAUGCGUAGCCGAACUGAGAGGGUGAUCGGCCACACUGGGACUGAGACACGGCCCAGACUCCGACGGGAGGCAGCAGUAGGGAAUCUUCCGCAAUGGACGAAAGUCUGACGGAGCAACGCCGCGUGAGUGAUGAAGGCCUUCGGGUCGUAAAACUCUGUUGUUAGGGAAGAACAAGUACCGGAAUAACUGCCGGUACCUUGACGGUACCUAACCAGAAAGCCACGGCUAACUACGUGCCAGCCGCCGCGGUAA
Molecule: ribosomal RNA, 512 nt
Filed under: uncultured bacterium
Lineage: Bacteria
Description: partial 16S ribosomal RNA
Rfam family: Bacterial small subunit ribosomal RNA
Source: RNAcentral